UACAGAGGGUGCAAGCGUUGUUCGGAAUGACUGGGCGUAAAGCGUGUGUAGGUGGUUGGAUAAGUUAGAUGUGAAAUCCCCGGGCUUAACCUGGGAACUGCGUCGAAAACUAUUCAGCUAGAGUACUGUAGAGGAUAGUGGAAUUUCCAGUGUAGCGGUGAAAUGCGUAGAUAUUGGAAGGAACACCAGUGGCGAAGGCGACUAUCUGGACAGAUACUGACACUGAGACACGAAGGCGUGGGGAGCAAACAGG
Molecule: ribosomal RNA, 253 nt
Filed under: uncultured bacterium
Lineage: Bacteria
Description: partial 16S ribosomal RNA
Rfam family: Bacterial small subunit ribosomal RNA
Source: RNAcentral